Molecule: ribosomal RNA, 254 nt
Filed under: uncultured bacterium
Lineage: Bacteria
Description: partial 16S ribosomal RNA
Rfam family: Bacterial small subunit ribosomal RNA
Source: RNAcentral
UACGUAGGGGGCAAGCGUUGUCCGGAUUUAUUGGGCGUAAAGAGCUCGUAGGUGGUUCGGUAAGUCGGAUGUGAAAUCUCCAGGCUCAACCUGGAGGGGUCAUUCGAUACUGCCGUGACUAGAGGUCGGUAGGGGAGUGUGGAAUUCCCGGUGUAGCGGUGAAAUGCGCAGAUAUCGGGAAGAACACCCGUGGCGAAGGCGGCACUCUGGGACGGUACUGACGCUGAGACGCGAAAGCGUGGGGAGCGAACAGG